GUUUGUGGCAUCUGUAUCUUCUGUGAGAGGCCGUAAAGCCAAACUGCCCACAAUGAUUCUUGACAGGCCUAAGAAGGCCAAAACUAAAGUAACAGUGUUUAGUGUUCUGAGUGAAGAGGAGGCUGGGGAGCUAGCCCUCGGGUUUGCCGGAAGAUUGGCCUGCGAUGUCACAACAGACAUGGUCUGUAAAGGCAUCGACCAUUCAAGUGCUGAUAUGACAAAACAGACUCUUCUCAAA
Non-coding RNA from Maylandia zebra (zebra mbuna), 238 nucleotides. Lineage: Eukaryota; Metazoa; Chordata; Actinopteri; Cichliformes; Cichlidae. The record is from RefSeq and is a predicted model, not a curated record.